AGCAGUUCUUGGUCAGGUGCUACAGCUGCAGAGCUCUUCACUUACCGGGCGAAGAUGUGUAGGCUCUGAAGUGCAGCAUUUGAUGACCUCAAGCUGGGUAACUAUGAAACCAAGGUAUGUGGAUUCUUUGUGGCACCCCACAUUUUGGAAAGACUGUUUUCCUGGAGAGCAGGAAGCACAAAGCUGGAGCAGGAGUGUUGAAGAUGCCUACUCACAUCUGCAGUCUUACAGGAAGAAAAUACAUGAGGAUCACAUCACAGCCAAGAUCCCAAGAAGUAGGUGAGUGAAACAAAGAGGGGAGGAAGUUCAUUGCCCCAUGAACAAAGUCUGGGACACCAGAUUUUUUUAACUGUA
This 354-nucleotide long non-coding RNA is filed under the name Chloebia gouldiae (Gouldian finch). RNAcentral's name for it is "Erythrura gouldiae (Gouldian finch) lncRNA (ENSEGOG00005009512.1)". Lineage: Eukaryota; Metazoa; Chordata; Aves; Passeriformes; Passeridae. The record is from RNAcentral.